CGCAGUUUGGGUGGCUUUACCAUGCAGUCGACGAUGAAGCCUUUCCGGGUGGAUUAUUGGCGAACGGGUGAGUAACACGUGGGCAAUCUGCCCUGUACUUUGGGAUAAGCCUGGGAAACUGGGUCUAAUACCGGAUAUGACUUCUGCGGGCAUCCGUGGAAGUGGAAAGCUCCGGCGGUACGGGAUGAGCCCGCGGCCUAUCACCUUGUUGGUGGGGUAAUGGGCUACCAAGGCGACAACAGGUACCGGCCUGAGAGGGGGACCGGCCACACUGGGACUGAGACACGGCCCACACUCCUACGGGAGGCAGCAGUGGGGAAUAUUGCACAAUGGGCGCAAGCCUGAUGCAGCGACGCCGCGUGAGGGAUGACAGCCUUCGGGUUGUAAACCUCUUUCUCCAGGGACGAAACGCAAGUGACGGUACCUGGAUAAGAAACACCGGGAUAAUCUACACGCUCAGCCAGCCGCGGUAAUACAUAGGGGCGCGCAGUCGUCGUCACGGAAUUAUUGGGCGUUAAAGAGCUUCGUAGGCGGGUUCGUCGAGUCGUUAGCGAAAACUCCACGCCUAACGUGGAGCGUGCGGGCGAUACAGGGCAGACCUGAGUUUCGGUAGGGGAGACUGGGAAUUCUCUGGGGGUAUCGGGUGAACAUCCGCACAUAUCAGGGAGGAACACCCGGUGUGCGAAAGCGGGUCUCUCGGGCCCGAUACUGACGCUCAGGAGAGAAAGCGCGGGGGAGCGGAUCAGGAGGAGAUACCCCGGUAGGCCACCGCUGUAAACCCUGGGCGCGUAGGUGUGGGCGACAUCCACGUUGUCCGUGCCCCAGCUAACGCAGGGUAAACAGCCCCCCCUGGUGGAGGACGAUGCCCGCAAGGCGUAAACAUCUCAAAGGAAUCUGACGGUGGGCCCGCACAAGCGGCGGAGCAUGUGGAUUAAUUCGAUGCAACGCGAAGAACCUUACCUGGGCUUGACAUGCGCCAGACAUCCCUAGAGAUAGGGCUUCCCUUGUGGUUGGUGUACAGGUGGUGCAUGGCUGUCGUCAGCUCGUGUCGUGAGAUGUUGGGUUAAGUCCCGCAACGAGCGCAACCCUUAUCCUACGUUGCCAGCGCGUUAUGGCGGGGACUCGUGGGAGACUGCCGGGGUCAACUCGGAGGAAGGUGGGGAUGACGUCAAGUCAUCAUGCCCCUUAUGUCCAGGGCUUCACACAUGCUACAAUGGCUGGUACAGAGGGCUGCGAUACCGCGAGGUGGAGCGAAUCCCUUAAAGCCGGUCUCAGUUCGGAUCGCAGUCUGCAACUCGACUGCGUGAAGUCGGAGUCGCUAGUAAUCGCAGAUCAGCAACGCUGCGGUGAAUACGUUCCCGGGCCUUGUACACACCGCCCGUCAAGUCAUGAAAGUCGGUAACACCCGAAGCCCAUGGCCCAACCUCGCAAGAGGGGGAGUGGUCGAAAGGGGGAACAACAGUUG
RNAcentral lists this ribosomal RNA (1465 nucleotides) under Amycolatopsis sp. RNAcentral describes it as "bacterial SSU rRNA". It matches the Rfam family "Bacterial small subunit ribosomal RNA". Lineage: Bacteria; Bacillati; Actinomycetota; Actinomycetes; Pseudonocardiales; Pseudonocardiaceae. The record is from RNAcentral.